RNAcentral lists this ribosomal RNA (253 nucleotides) under uncultured bacterium. RNAcentral describes it as "partial 16S ribosomal RNA". It matches the Rfam family "Bacterial small subunit ribosomal RNA", at positions 524 to 776 of the family's 1533-position model. The record is from RNAcentral.
UACGUAGGAGACGAGCGUUGUCCGGAGUUACUGGGCGUAAAGGGCGCGUAGGCGGCUAUCUAAGCAGGGCGUGAAAGCCCCCGGCUCAACCGGGGAAUUGCGUUCUGAACUGGAUGGCUGGAGUGAGAUAGAGGUGUGUGGAACUUCCAGUGGAGCGGUGAAAUGUGUUGAUAUUGGAAGGAACACCUGUGGCGAAAGCGACACACUGGGUCUCAACUGACGCUGAGGCACGAAAGCCAGGGGAGCGAACAGG